RNAcentral lists this ribosomal RNA (36 nucleotides) under uncultured bacterium. RNAcentral's name for it is "partial 23S ribosomal RNA". The record is from RNAcentral.
AGGGUUAUAUGAUCAAGUAAUUAAGAGCACAAGGAU